This 253-nucleotide ribosomal RNA is filed under the name uncultured bacterium. Its description in RNAcentral is "partial 16S ribosomal RNA". It matches the Rfam family "Bacterial small subunit ribosomal RNA", at positions 524 to 776 of the family's 1533-position model. The record is from RNAcentral.
UACGUAGGGGGCGAGCGUUGUCCGGAGUUACUGGGCGUAAAGCGCACGUAGGCGGCUUUGUAAGUUAGAGGUGAAAGCCCAGGGCUUAACCCUGGAAUUGCCUUUAAGACUGCAUCGCUAGAAUCGUGGAGAGGUGAGUGGAAUUCCGAGUGUAGAGGUGAAAUUCGUAGAUAUUCGGAAGAACACCAGUGGCGAAGGCGACUCACUGGACACGUAUUGACGCUGAGGUGCGAAAGCGUGGGGAGCAAACAGG